UUGCGGUCACAUAACUUUGAAACACCCAUUCCUGUACGAUCAUUGAAGUUAAGCAAAGUCGAGCCUGGUCAUUACCUAGAUGGGUAACCGCUUGGGAAUACCAGGUCAUG
RNAcentral lists this ribosomal RNA (110 nucleotides) under Acanthosepion pharaonis. The record is from RNAcentral. Lineage: Eukaryota; Metazoa; Mollusca; Cephalopoda; Sepiida; Sepiidae.